GCAACUUUAACAGUAGCUUAGUUGGUAAAGCAAUAGAUUUGUAAUCUAUGGAUCGCGGGUUCGACUCCCGCCAAUUUGUA
This 80-nucleotide transfer RNA is filed under the name Treponema sp. RNAcentral's name for it is "tRNA-Thr". The stretch from base 13 to 72 matches the Rfam family "tRNA", at positions 7 to 64 of the family's 71-position model. Rfam says of the family: Transfer RNA (tRNA) molecules are approximately 80 nucleotides in length. The record is from RNAcentral. Lineage: Bacteria; Pseudomonadati; Spirochaetota; Spirochaetia; Treponematales; Treponemataceae.